CCUACGGGAGGCAGCAGUGGGGAAUAUUGGACAAUGGGCGAAAGCCUGAUCCAGCCAUGCCGCGUGUGUGAAGAAGGCCUUUUGGUUGUAAAGCACUUUAAGCGAGGAGGAGGCUACUUGGAUUAAUACUCUAGGAUAGUGGACGUUACUCGCAGAAUAAGCACCGGUUAACUCUGUGCCAGCAGCCGCGGUAAU
RNAcentral lists this ribosomal RNA (195 nucleotides) under uncultured bacterium. RNAcentral's name for it is "partial 16S ribosomal RNA". It matches the Rfam family "Bacterial small subunit ribosomal RNA", at positions 338 to 524 of the family's 1533-position model. The record is from RNAcentral.